This 254-nucleotide ribosomal RNA is filed under the name uncultured prokaryote. RNAcentral describes it as "partial 16S ribosomal RNA". It matches the Rfam family "Bacterial small subunit ribosomal RNA", at positions 525 to 777 of the family's 1533-position model. The record is from RNAcentral.
ACGGAGGAUCCAAGCGUUAUCCGGAAUUACUGGGCGUAAAGAGUUGCGUAGGCGGCAUAGCAAGUAGAUAGUGAAAUCCUGGGGCUCAACCCCUUCAACAUUGUCUAAACUGCUGAGCUAGAAUAUAGAAGAGGUAGCUGGAAUUUCUUGUGUAGGAGUGAAAUCCGUAGAUAUAAGAAGGAACACCGAUGGCGUAGGCAGGCUACUGGUCUAUUAUUGACGCUAAGGCACGAAAGCGUGGGGAGCAAACGGGA